GCGCACCAGGCGAGAAACUUUACAAUGUGCGAAAGCACGAUAAGGGAACUCUGAGUGCCUCCUAAGGAGGCUGUUCUGAUGUCUAAAAGCAACAGAAGUAAGGGCUGGGUAAGACCGGUGCCAGCCGCCGCGGUAACACCGGCAGCCCAAGUGGUAGCCACGUUUAUUGGGUCUAAAGCGUUCGUAGCCGGCCAGGUAAGUUCCUUGGUAAAUUUAGCCGCUUAACGGUUAAGCUUUCAGGGAAUACUGCUUGGCUUGGGACUGGGAGAGGUCAGAGGUACUCCGGGGGUAGGGGUGAAAUCUAUUAAUCCCUGGGGGACCACCGGUAGCGAAGGCGUCUGACCAGACCAGGUCCGACGGUGAGGGACGAAGGCUAGGGGCGCGAACCGGAUUAGAUACCCGCGUAGU
RNAcentral lists this ribosomal RNA (408 nucleotides) under uncultured microorganism. Its description in RNAcentral is "bacterial SSU rRNA". It matches the Rfam family "Archaeal small subunit ribosomal RNA", at positions 330 to 745 of the family's 1478-position model. The record is from RNAcentral.